RNAcentral lists this ribosomal RNA (423 nucleotides) under uncultured bacterium. RNAcentral describes it as "bacterial SSU rRNA". It matches the Rfam family "Bacterial small subunit ribosomal RNA", at positions 358 to 773 of the family's 1533-position model. The record is from RNAcentral.
GGAAUAUUGGACAAUGGGCGCAAGCCUGAUCCAGCAAUGCCGCGUGCAGGAUGAAGGCCUUCGGGUUGUAAACUGCUUUUGUACGGAACGAAAAGCUCUGGGCUAAUACCUCGGAGUCAUGACGGUACCGUAAGAAUAAGCACCGGCUAACUACGUGCCAGCAGCCGCGGUAAUACGUAGGGUGCAAGCGUUAAUCGGAAUUACUGGGCGUAAAGCGUGCGCAGGCGGUUUUGUAAGACAGUGGUGAAAUCCCCGGGCUCAACCUGGGAACUGCCAUUGUGACUGCAAGGCUAGAGUACGGCAGAGGGGGGUGGAAUUCCGCGUGUAGCAGUGAAAUGCGUAGAUAUGCGGAGGAACACCGAUGGCGAAGGCAACCCCCUGGGCCUGUACUGACGCUCAUGCACGAAAGCGUGGGGAGCAAAC